RNAcentral lists this ribosomal RNA (253 nucleotides) under uncultured bacterium. Its description in RNAcentral is "partial 16S ribosomal RNA". It matches the Rfam family "Bacterial small subunit ribosomal RNA", at positions 524 to 776 of the family's 1533-position model. The record is from RNAcentral.
UACGGGGGGGGUAAGCGUUGUUCGGAAUUACUGGGCGUAAAGGGUCUGUAGGUGGCUUGCUAAGUCAGACGUGAAAUCCCUCAGCUUAACUGGGGAACUGCGUCUGAGACUGGCGAGCUUGAGUGCAGGAGAGGAACGCGGAAUUCCAGGUGUAGCGGUGAAAUGCGUAGAUAUCUGGAGGAACACCGGUGGCGAAGGCGGCGUUCUGGACUGCAACUGACACUGAGAGACGAAAGCCAGGGGAGCAAACGGG